Molecule: ribosomal RNA, 562 nt
Filed under: uncultured fungus
Lineage: Eukaryota; Fungi
Description: SSU rRNA
Rfam family: Eukaryotic small subunit ribosomal RNA
Source: RNAcentral
AUUGGAAGGGGUGUAUUUAUUAGAUAAAAAACCAACGCCCUUCGGGGCUUCUUGGUGAUUCAUGAUAACUUCACGGAUCGCAUGGCCUUGCGCCGGCGACGGUUCAUUCAAAUUUCUGCCCUAUCAACUUUCGAUGGUAAGGUAUUGGCUUACCAUGGUUUCAACGGGUAACGGGGAAUUAGGGUUCGAUUCCGGAGAGGGAGCCUGAGAAACGGCUACCACAUCCAAGGAAGGCAGCAGGCGCGCAAAUUACCCAAUCCCGACACGGGGAGGUAGUGACAAUAAAUACUGAUACAGGGCUCUUUUGGGUCUUGUAAUUGGAAUGAGUACAAUUUAAACCUCUUAACGAGGAACAAUUGGAGGGCAAGUCUGGUGCCAGCAGCCGCGGUAAUUCCAGCUCCAAUAGCGUAUAUUAAAGUUGUUGCAGUUAAAAAGCUCGUAGUUGAAACUUGGGCCUGGCUGGCAGGUCCGCCUCACCGCGUGUACUUGUCCGGCCGGGCCUUACCUCUUGGUGAGCCGGCGUGCCCUUUAUUGGUGUGCGUCGGGGAACCAGGACUUUUAC